AUGAACGCUGGCGGCGUGCCUAAUACAUGCAAGUCGAGCGAACGGACGAGAAGCUUGCUUCUGUGAUGUUAGCGGCGGACGGGUGAGUAACACGUGGAUAACCUACCUAUAAGACUGGGAUAACUUCGGGAAACCGGAGCUAAUACCGGAUAAUAUUUUGAACCGCAUGGUUCAAAAGUGAAAGACGGUCUUGCUGUCACUUAUAGAUGGAUCCGCGCUGCAUUAGCUAGUUGGUAAGGUAACGGCUUACCAAGGCAACGAUGCAUAGCCGACCUGAGAGGGUGAUCGGCCACACUGGAACUGAGACACGGUCCAGACUCCUACGGGAGGCAGCAGUAGGGAAUCUUCCGCAAUGGGCGAAAGCCUGACGGAGCAACGCCGCGUGAGUGAUGAAGGUCUUCGGAUCGUAAAACUCUGUUAUUAGGGAAGAACAUAUGUGUAAGUAACUGUGCACAUCUUGACGGUACCUAAUCAGAAAGCCACGGCUAACUACGUG
RNAcentral lists this ribosomal RNA (496 nucleotides) under uncultured bacterium. Its description in RNAcentral is "partial 16S ribosomal RNA". It matches the Rfam family "Bacterial small subunit ribosomal RNA", at positions 29 to 507 of the family's 1533-position model. The record is from RNAcentral.